AGAGUCCCUCUUUUAGUUUUUAUUACCUCUGGGUAGGAAAAUACUGUUACAUUCUUUUGUAUAUCCAAGCCUUAUUCAUCAGAGAAUCUUUUUCUGGAUUACAUUCUGAUUUUUCUUAAUUUUUUUUUCUUUAAAACAGUUUGAAAGUCUGUGUAGAUUAUUUUCAUUGGUUUUCUCUUAUUAAUGCACCUAUUUAAUCCUUUCUAAAAUGCCAUAUGUUAACCUAUGUUGGCCUUAAAAUUAUGUUCAGACGCUGCUUAAAAACCCAGACCAUUGCAGAAUCUUAAGAACUCAAGGCUGUUUGAAUGUUACAGAUACAGAUCUGAAGAAAUUCAGUUUCAAAUGGGCUUUCUUCAGAUGUGGAGGAAACACUGCAGCCCAAAAGAACAGUACUUCCUCUCAACUGUAUUGAUAUGUAAAAUAGCACCUUUGGGCUGACAUGAAAGGAAAUUGGUUUCCGUCUUUCUUAAUUAAAAUGGCUGCUCUGUCCAAUACAGUGGAUUU
This 504-nucleotide long non-coding RNA is filed under the name Bos taurus (domestic cattle). RNAcentral describes it as "long non-coding RNA NONBTAT021717". Lineage: Eukaryota; Metazoa; Chordata; Mammalia; Artiodactyla; Bovidae. The record is from RNAcentral.